Molecule: ribosomal RNA, 583 nt
Filed under: Flavobacterium cauense R2A-7
Lineage: Bacteria; Pseudomonadati; Bacteroidota; Flavobacteriia; Flavobacteriales; Flavobacteriaceae
Description: bacterial SSU rRNA
Rfam family: Bacterial small subunit ribosomal RNA
Source: RNAcentral
UAAGCGAAAGUGAUAAGUAUCCCACCUGGGGAGUACGUUCGCAAGAAUGAAACUCAAAGGAAUUGACGGGGGCCCGCACAAGCGGAGGAGCAUGUGGUUUAAUUCGAUGAUACGCGAGGAACCUUACCAGGGCUUAAAUGGGAGACGACAGGACUGGAAACAGUUUUUUCUUCGGACGUCUUUCAAGGUGCUGCAUGGUUGUCGUCAGCUCGUGCCGUGAGGUGUCAGGUUAAGUCCUAUAACGAGCGCAACCCCUAUUGUUAGUUGCCAGCGGGUCAUGCCGGGAACUCUAACAAGACUGCCGGUGCAAACCGUGAGGAAGGUGGGGAUGACGUCAAAUCAUCACGGCCCUUACGUCCUGGGCUACACACGUGCUACAAUGGGCGGUACAGAGAGCAGCCACCACGCAAGUGGGCGCGAAUCUUCAAAACCGUUCUCAGUUCGGAUCGGAGUCUGCAACUCGACUCCGUGAAGCUGGAUUCGCUAGUAAUCGCAUAUCAGCCAUGAUGCGGUGAAUACGUUCCCGGGCCUUGUACACACCGCCCGUCAAGCCAUGGAAGCUGGGGGUACCUGAAGUCGGUGA